CAAACUGUAGAUAAGGUUCAAGUCUGCUGCAGAUGUCUUAUCUGGGACUGAAGCCAUAUGAGCUGUAACACCAAGGCCCGCCCAUCUCUUCUGAGCCCGGAGAUGAGACCCAAACCAUUAUUUCUCUGGAAUCAAUGCUAGUAUCAAAGUGAUGGAGAAGAUGAACUUUGGAGAGAAUAACUUUGUGCCCAAGAUCACCUGCCUACUCAGUAAGGAAGAUGAGACUUGACCCAGGUUUAUCUGACCCCAGAUUUAUGUUCUCUCUCACUAUAUUCAGAGAGUUUGACUCAGAACAGCCAUGGAUGGUGAUUUUUCUAGUCUUCCUCAUUACCGGGACUGGUGAUAAAAAUUUGUGGCGUACUCAUUGUAUGCUAAGUACAGUUACGGAAGAUAUAAAGAUAAAUAAAA
Molecule: long non-coding RNA, 408 nt
Organism: Ailuropoda melanoleuca (giant panda)
Lineage: Eukaryota; Metazoa; Chordata; Mammalia; Carnivora; Ursidae
Exons: 3
Source: RefSeq, a predicted model, not a curated record